RNAcentral lists this long non-coding RNA (711 nucleotides) under Gallus gallus (chicken). The record is from RNAcentral. Lineage: Eukaryota; Metazoa; Chordata; Aves; Galliformes; Phasianidae.
GGCAGCAAAUGGUGUGAAAUGAGAGGCUUUGGUUCAUGUUGGGUACCUUAUACUUUUUAGUCCUGAGUGUUUAAGAACAUUAGUAGUAAAUUAACUCAAAGACUCAUUUUGCAAUUUGAAGAAAACAGAAUAUGUUUUUUGAGAAAUAAAUCUCAAAUUUCAGAUACUUGCCUUCUGAGCAUUUGCUAUUGAUAAAAUAGUAACAUUUAAUUGCGCUGCUCACAUAUAAAGCUAUUUUGCCUCUGUUUCCCAGAGUAUCCGCACAAGGAAGACAAAUUUAUAUUGCUUUACUUUGAAAGAUAAAAUGAAGCCCUACCAUAAAUGCAGAUCAGAUAUAAAAUAUGCAACUUGAUGAUAGAUAGAUGUUUUCAUAUUACACCAGAAAUAUUUUCAUAUUUUCUGAAGCAGCUUUAUUUUUUGAAUAUCAUAGAAUGGCCUGGAUUGACAAGGACCACGAGGAUCAUGUAGCAGGGAGGUUGGAACUAGGUGAUCAUUGUGGUCCUUUUCAACACAGACUAUUUUCUGAUUCUAUUAAAGAUGAAGCCCAUGACAGAUGUAGAAGACAAAUCAUAUUCUAGUGGGACAAAAUACCGAUUCAUGUGCAUGCUAUGAAAUCAUCCUUUAUUUGAUAGAGACCGGAAUUUACUUCCAUUUAACUAAUCGCAGUGAAUAACGCAUCCUAUUUUCUUCCAGUUCAACCUUGCUUGUAUC